Molecule: ribosomal RNA, 201 nt
Filed under: uncultured bacterium
Lineage: Bacteria
Description: partial 16S ribosomal RNA
Rfam family: Bacterial small subunit ribosomal RNA
Source: RNAcentral
GAAGGCUGAAAUUCGCCUUCAUGAAGCUGGAAUUGCUAGUGAUGGCAGGUCAGCAUACUGCCGUGAAUACGUUCCCGGGCCUUGUACACACCGCCCGUCACACCAUGAGAGUUGGAAAUACCCGAAGCCUGUGAGCUAACAGUAAUGAGGCAGCAGUCGAAGGUAGAGCCAAUGAUUGGGGUGAAGUCGUAACAAGGUAGC